AUGUUCCUCACUUCGGCAGCACAUAUACUAAAAUUGGAAUAACAUAGAGAAGAUUAGCAUGGUCCCUGGACAAGGGUGACGUGCAAGUUUGUCAAGCGUUCCAUGAUUUU
This is a small nuclear RNA of Bos taurus (domestic cattle), 110 nucleotides long. NCBI's taxonomy places the organism in Eukaryota, Metazoa, Chordata, Mammalia, Artiodactyla, Bovidae. The record is from Ensembl.